RNAcentral lists this ribosomal RNA (506 nucleotides) under Mytilus chilensis. RNAcentral's name for it is "partial 16S ribosomal RNA". It matches the Rfam family "Bacterial large subunit ribosomal RNA", at positions 1797 to 2597 of the family's 2925-position model. The record is from RNAcentral. Lineage: Eukaryota; Metazoa; Mollusca; Bivalvia; Mytilida; Mytilidae.
CGCCUGUUUAUCAAAAACAUUUCCUUUUGAUGUUAGUAAAAGGUAGUCCCUGCCCAGUGCAACUAGAGUAAUGUUUGUUGUAAACGGCGGCGUUAACGUGAGCGUCCUAAGGUAGCGCGAUAAUUUGCUUUUCAAUUGAAGGAUGGUAUGAAAGGGUUAACGAAGAAGGUGCUGUGUCUAAAAAUUUAAUUUAAACUAACUUUAAGGUGAAGAGGCCUUUAUGUAAAAGAAGGACGACAAGACCCUAUGAAGCUUUAUCUUAAUUGGAGCUUUCAGGCUCUUAUAGGAUUUUGAUGGGAGAUCAGUAGAAAUAAGUCUUCUACUAUUAUAUUAAUCUUACUAGUAUUUCCUAACUUUAUAUGUGUGGCUAGCUACUCUAGGGAUAACAGCGCAAUUUCUCCCGAAAGAUGGUAUUGGAGGGGAAGAUUGCGACCUCGAUGUUGGCUUUAGAUACCCUAGAGGCGUAGAAGCUUCUGAUGGUGGGUCUGUUCGCCCUUUAAAAUCUA